CUCUAUCAUUUACAACAGGUUGUGUAAGUUGUUUUGACUUGUCAUUAACAUAGUAUGUGUGGAUAGUAUAUAAUGGUCCAUAGAUAGGAAAGAUGCCAACUAAUUAUGUGACUGUGUGUGUGUGUGUGUGUGUGUGUGUGUGUGUGUGUGUGUGUGUGUGUGUGUGUGUGUGUGUGUGUGUGUGUGUGUGUGUGUGUGUGUGUGUGUUGGUGAAAGAGGGGGGGAGUUACCCCUUUCAUAAGGAGGCGUAGACUAUAUUAUAUAAUGAUGACAAAAUGGCCAUAAAAUCUGCAACUUACACAACCGGUUGUCAGUAUAAAACCCCCCUUUGCAGCAGACGAGCAGUCUGACUGUUGAUUGUCGCUAAAGAGAAAAGUUCAGUUCAAGUCAUCGAUGAUGGGAGAACACCAGGGUUCCCUUGUGCUGGCCAUCCUGUCGUCCAUCCUCCUCUUUGUCAUCACGCUGGUGUUCAAUGGUCUGGCGGGACCUGGAAUAUAUCCAUUUCUGGGGACAACGGCCAACAUAUCAGGGGAGUAUGAGACGGAGAUCACGCCUGCAGGCUGGACCUUCGCCAUCUGGUCUCUUAUAUACGUGUGGCUGGUCCUCAUGUUCGUCUACAUCCUCUCCGGCUGCUGCAGGAAAAACUCCUACGGCUAUGUGUACUGCAGUCCUCCUGUCCUUUCACAUGGCUUUUUCAUGGCAUGGUGCAUGAACAUGGGCUUGAACACUGCAUGGCUGUUUCUGUGGGAUAGAAGCUUGAUGAUCGUUGCCGCUGUGUUCCUUCUCCUGAUUGCCGGCUCAAACUACAUCAUGAUCUCCUUCGCCUGCCGCGGUCUCCAUGUUCACGGCGCGUGGCUCAGCAAAUAUCACAGACUCGAUCUUUGGCUGCACCGUGUGUGUGUUCAGAAUGGUCUGGCCUUGUACGCUACAUGGACAACGGUCGCCACUCUUGUUAAUCUGACCAUUGUGCUCGACUACGAUGCAGAGAUGCUUCCAGAGAACGCUGCCACAGUCACUCUAUCCGUGCUUACGUGUAUUUUGCUGGCCUGGUGUGUUUUAGAGAACUGGGUCCUGGAGAGGCAUGUGCGCUACAUCGUGACAGUGUAUCCAGUGGUGAUCUGGGCCCUCUGUGGGGCCGUGUCCAGCCACUUCGACCCCAGCGCACCCAGCCAGAGUGGCCUCUUCCUAGUGGCGCUCCUGGCCCUGUCCUGCGCGCUGUGUGCUGUGAAGCUUGGCCUGGCGGUCUGGAGGCACGUCAAGCGGCCCCUGUAUCAAGACGUGAAGGCAGAGGACAUGGAGCCCAUGGAAAUUGCUCAAAGACAGAAAAAGAUUUUUAAAUGAACAUUGUUGCACUUAACCCAGAAGAUUAGACACAACAUCCGAAUUAAUGAUAUAUUUUGCAUACUUUUGUAUUUAUAAUGACUUUUGCGUAUUUUGUGUCAAUUGUGUGUUUGGCUCAAAGCCCAAUUUUGUGUCAUUUGUAUUUUUAACGAAGUUGAAAAAAAAAACAAAUAUGUGCUUUAGUACAUUCUGUUGAACAAAUAAUAUAAAUAAUGUUGUAAAUGUUGUUGAAUGAUUUUCUUUUUGUAAUGUGAAAAUAAAAC
Gadus morhua (Atlantic cod) is the source of this 1604-nucleotide long non-coding RNA. The record is from Ensembl. Lineage: Eukaryota; Metazoa; Chordata; Actinopteri; Gadiformes; Gadidae.